This 417-nucleotide unclassified non-coding RNA is filed under the name Hevea brasiliensis (rubber tree). Lineage: Eukaryota; Viridiplantae; Streptophyta; Magnoliopsida; Malpighiales; Euphorbiaceae. The record is from RNAcentral.
UUGCAAUUGUCCCUACAAUGCAUACAAAUUUUAAAGUUAAAAACAUGAUCAAGUUUAAGCCUUUGAAUUAGACACAAAUACCUUUCAAUGUCUGUUGUUGUGCAGGUGUUUUUAUCCUUUUUUAAUCUAAAAAUAAAAUAAUUAAACAAGGAGAAUUUUCAUUGGUGAGAUUUCAUGCCUAUGGUCUACUUUUAGAUUGCCUCAUUUUUGUAACUAGAGCCCAGUUGGUUAUUAUGCGGUUACGACAUAGCUAUUCAUAGAAAUAUCAGCUCUCUUCAAAACUAAUGUUAAAAAUUAACAACAUAUGAAAUUAGAAAUUUUAAGGACCAAAAUAAAAACCAAGUUAAAAUAACAUUUUUCAAACUUAACAGUACAACGAUAUGUCAUAUGUGACUUUUAAGUUUGAAUGACAAAAAA